RNAcentral lists this ribosomal RNA (504 nucleotides) under Corynoptera boletiphaga. RNAcentral's name for it is "partial 16S ribosomal RNA". The record is from RNAcentral. Lineage: Eukaryota; Metazoa; Arthropoda; Insecta; Diptera; Sciaridae.
GUCUUUUUGAAAUUUAUAUAAAGUCUAACCUGCCCAUUGAAUUUUUAAAAGGCUGCGGUAUUUUAACCGUACAAAGGUAGCAUAGUCAUUAGUUUUUUAAUUGAAAACUUGUAUGAAUGGUUGAAUGAAAUAUUAACUUUUUUAAUUAAAAAAUUGAAUUUUACUUUUUAAUUAAAAGGUUAAAAUGUGUUUAAAAGACGAGAAGACCCUAUAGAGUUUUAUAAUUGGUAAAAUAUUUUAUAAGAAGUUUAUUAUAUUUUUUAUUUAAUUAAUUAUUUUGUUGGGGUGAUAAUAAAAUUUAAUAAACUUUUAUUUUUAAAUACAUUAAUUUAUGAAUGAUUGAUCCAUUAUUUAUGAUUAAAAAUUUAAAUUACCUUAGGGAUAACAGCGUAAUUUUUUUUUAAGUUCUUAUUAAUAAAAAAUUUUGCGACCUCGAUGUUGGAUUAAGAUAUAGUUUUAGGUGCAGCAGUUUAAAAUUAAAGUCUGUUCGACUUUUAAAUUCUU